RNAcentral lists this transfer RNA (75 nucleotides) under Luteococcus japonicus. RNAcentral's name for it is "tRNA-Val". It matches the Rfam family "tRNA". Rfam says of the family: Transfer RNA (tRNA) molecules are approximately 80 nucleotides in length. Their secondary structure includes four short double-helical elements and three loops (D, anti-codon, and T loops). Further hydrogen bonds mediate the characteristic L-shaped molecular structure. tRNAs have two regions of fundamental functional importance: the anti-codon, which is responsible for specific mRNA codon recognition, and the 3' end, to which the tRNAs corresponding amino acid is attached (by aminoacyl-tRNA synthetases). tRNAs cope with the degeneracy of the genetic code in two manners: having more than one tRNA (with a specific anti-codon) for a particular amino acid; and 'wobble' base-pairing, i.e. permitting non-standard base-pairing at the 3rd anti-codon position. RNAcentral also lists the same sequence under 6 other names. The record is from RNAcentral. Lineage: Bacteria; Bacillati; Actinomycetota; Actinomycetes; Propionibacteriales; Propionibacteriaceae.
GGGCGGUUGGCGCAGUGGUAGCGCGCUUCCCUGACACGGAAGAGGUCACUGGUUCAAACCCAGUAUCGCCCACCA